AACAAGAAUGAGCCCUACGACUGCAAGAUUUACUAUGUCAUGUUGGGACUGGCUUGAAAGAUCAAUAAAUCCGUAUAUCCGCACUUGCUUACCGUGCAGACCGUCAAUGAGAGCGCCUGUGAGAACUGGCACCUGCAUGGGAAUAAGGACAAAGAGAACGGACCAAAGGAUAGCAGAGGCUAAUCUUAUCCUAUGCUGCCUCAAACGCUGAAGU
This 214-nucleotide unclassified non-coding RNA is filed under the name uncultured fungus. RNAcentral's name for it is "sequence contains ITS1". Lineage: Eukaryota; Fungi. The record is from RNAcentral.